RNAcentral lists this long non-coding RNA (2727 nucleotides) under Pan troglodytes (chimpanzee). RNAcentral's name for it is "long non-coding RNA NONPTRT006643". Lineage: Eukaryota; Metazoa; Chordata; Mammalia; Primates; Hominidae. The record is from RNAcentral.
CUUGUGCAUCUAUGUAUGCACAUAAGCAUAUAAUUUUACAAAAAUGGGUUCAUUUCAUAUUUGCUGGGGGUGUUACUAGUGCCAUUUUUCCUUGCCUCCCACGAUUUGGUAUAUUUCCUUUCACAGUUUUCUCCAUCCUUAUAUAACAGAGUCGCCAGAUUUAGCAAAUAAAAAUACAGGACAUUCAGUCAAAUUUGAACUUCAGAGAAACAAAGAAUUGUUUUUAGUGAGAAAUGCUGGUGGUUAGCUUCAUCAAAAGGAAAACAAGUGAGAAAUUUCAGCUAGAUUUGGAAAAGGAAAGGUGCUACAAAUUCAAAAGAUUUCACUUUUAACACUGGCUUUCCUGCCUACUUGCUGUGGUGGUUUUGUGAAAAGUGAUGGGUUUUAUUCGUUGGGCUUUAAAAGAAAAGGUUUGGCAGAACUAAAAACAAAACUCACGUAUCAUCUCAAUAGAUACAGAAAAGGCUUUUGAUAAAAUUCAACUUGACUUCAUGUUAAAAACCCUCGACAAACCAGGCAUUGAAGGAACAUACCUCAAAAUAAUAAGAGCCAUCUAUGACAAAACCACAGCCAACAUCAUACUGAAUGAGCAAAAGCUGGAGCAUUACCCUUGAGAAGUAGAACAAGGCACUUCAGUCCUAUUCAACAUAGUACUGGAAGUCCUCACCACAGCAAUCAGGCAAGAGAAAGAAAUAAAAGGCAACCAAAAAGAGAGGAAGUCGAAGUAUCUCUGUUUGCCGACGAUAUGAUUCUAUAUCUAGAAAACCCCAUGAUCUUGGCCCAAAAGCUCCUAGAUCUGAUAAACAACUUCAGCUAACUUUCAGGAGACAAAAUCAAUAUACAAAAUACAGUAGCAUUUUUAUACACCAACGACAUCCAAGCUGAGAGCCAAAUCAAGAAUGCAAUCCUAUUCACAAUUGCCACAAAAAGAAUAAAAUACCUAGGAAUACAGCUAACCAGGGAGAUGAAAGAUCUCUACAACAAAAAUUACAAAACACUGCUGAAAGAAAUCAGAGAUGACACAAAUGGAAAAACAUUCCAUGCUUAUGGAUAGGAAGAAUCAAUAUUGUUAAAAUGGCCAUACUACCCAAAGCAAUUUAUAGAUUCAAUGCUAUUCCUAUCAAACUACCAAUAACAUUCUUCACAGAAUCAGAAAAAAAAGCAUUAAAAUUUAUUUGAAACCAAAAAAGAGCCCCAAAAGCCAAAGCAAUCCUAAGCAAAAAGAACAAAGCUGGAGGCAUCGCAUUACCCAACUUCAAACUAUACUACAGGGCUACAGUAACCAAAACUGCAUGAUACUGGUACAAAAGCAUGGUACUGGUACAAAAGCAGACACAUAGAUCAAUGGAACAGAAUAGAGAGCCCAGAAAUAAAGCUACACACCUACAACCAUCUAAUCUUUGACAAAGUUGACAAAAAUACGCAAUGGGGAAAGAAUUCCCCAUUCAGUAAGUGGUACUGGGAUAACUAGCUAGCCAUAUGCAGAAGAUUGAAACUGAACCACUUCCUUACACCAUAUGCAAAAAUCAACUCAAGAUGGAUUAAAGACUUAAAUGUAAAACCCCAAACUAUAAAAACUCUGGAAGAUAACCUAGGCAAUACCAUUCUGGACAUAGGAACGGAAAAAGAUUUCAUGACAAAGAUCCCAAAAAUAAUUGUAACGAAAGCAAAAAUUGACAAAUGGGACAUGAUUAAACAGAACUACCAUUUGACUCAGCAAUCCCAUUAUUGGUUAUAUACCCAAAGGAAUCUAAAUCAUUCUGUCAUAAAGAAAUAUAUACACAAAUGUUCACGGCAGCACUAUACACAAUCGCAAAGUCAGGGAAUCAAACUAAAUGUCCAUCAGUGGUAGAAAGGAUAAAGAAAAUGUGGUGGCAGGGAGUGGUGGCUCAUGUCUGUAAUCCCAGCACUUUGGGAGGCUGAGGCGGGUGGUUCACCUGAGGUCAGGAGUUUGAGACCAGCCUGGCCAACAUGGCGAAACUCCGUCUCCACUAAAAAUACGAAAAUUAGCCAGGCGUGGUGGCAAGCGCCUGUCAUCCCAGCUACUUGGGAGGCCUAGGCGUAAGAAUCGCUUGAACCUGGAAGGUGGUGGUUGCAGUGAGCCGAGAUCCUGCCACUGCACUCCAGCCUGGGCAACCAAGCGAGACUCUGCCUUAAAAAAAAAAAAAAGAAAAUGUGGCACAUAUACACCAUGGAAUACUAUGCAUCCAUAAAAAAGAAUGGGAUCAUGUCCUGUGCAGCAACAUGGAUGGAGCUGGAAGCCAUUAUCCUAAAUGAACUCACUCAGAAACAGAAAACCAAAUACCACAUGUUCUCACUUAUAAGUAGAAGCUAAACAUUGAGUACACAUGGAUACAAAGAAGGGAACCGCAGACACUGGGGCCUACCUGAGGUUGGAGCAUGGAAGGAGGGUGAGGAUCAAAAAACUACCUAUCUGGUACUAUGCUUUUUAUCUGGAUGAUGAAAUAAUCUGUACAACAAACCCUGGUGACAUGCAAUUUACCUAUAUAGCAAGCCUACACACGUGCCCCUGAACCUAAAAAAAAAGUUAAAAGAAAAACGUUUGGAUUAUUUUCCCUCUUUCGAACAAAGACAUUGGUUUGCCCAAGGACUACAAAUAAACCAACGGGAAAAAAGAAAGGUUCCAGUUUUGUCUGAAAAUUCUGAUUAAGCCUCUGGGCCCUACAGCCUGGAGAACCUGGAGAAUCCUACACCCACAGAACCCGG